UACGAAGGGGGCUAGCGUUGCUCGGAAUCACUGGGCGUAAAGCGCACGUAGGCGGCUUCUUAAGUCAGGGGUGAAAUCCUGGAGCUCAACUCCAGAACUGCCUUUGAUACUGAGAAGCUUGAGUCCGGGAGAGGUGAGUGGAACUGCGAGUGUAGAGGUGAAAUUCGUAGAUAUUCGCAAGAACGCCAGUGGCGAAGGCGGCUCACUGGCCCGGUACUGACGCUGAGGUGCGAAAGCGUGGGGAGCAAACAGG
RNAcentral lists this ribosomal RNA (253 nucleotides) under uncultured bacterium. Its description in RNAcentral is "partial 16S ribosomal RNA". It matches the Rfam family "Bacterial small subunit ribosomal RNA", at positions 524 to 776 of the family's 1533-position model. The record is from RNAcentral.